GCUAUUCAGCGCAAGAAGAGGAUGUUCAGCCCUUGGUGUUCAGAAGCAGGGAGUGCAGUGCAGAGCCAGAAUGGGAAGUACACUCUCCCAGUCUCACUCGCAAUGUGAUUCUCCUUUUGCAGUACAUUCAACAGGGAACUCAUAGCUUGAUUGAUCCAGCACUGAGUAUAUCACCUCCAGCCCCUGCUGACUCUCUGGAAACCCCACUUCUGCACACAUGGGAUUUCGAGGCACAUUUCCUAUUGUUAAAUCAUAACAAUAUUUACCGUGAAAAAGCCAGAAAGGUCACACUGAUUAAGACAGAGCCAGGAAGGAGUUUGGAGUGUUGAAGAAGAUGAUCAAAGGCCUGAGCAACUGGAGAAGAGAGAAUAUCUCAAGGAUACGGAAAAAGCGAAGAGCAGGUGAAUUGCAGAGCAUUGAGGCCGUGGCGAUGAGUGCGUGUUCUGUAUUCUAAAAACCUUUAUUCCUUGACAGGGCCGUGCUUUCCCUUGUCUUCCAUCUUGACCUGCGCUAUUUUUUCCUACUCACCUCCACACUCCCGAUAAUAUAUGUUCCUCUUCAAAACCUUCUUCCUUUGCCUUUCAAACUCAUUUUAUACUCCUGCUUUGCAUUGCAGAAAGGCCCUCC
RNAcentral lists this long non-coding RNA (627 nucleotides) under Chinchilla lanigera (long-tailed chinchilla). RNAcentral describes it as "lncRNA (ENSCLAG00000024153.1)". Lineage: Eukaryota; Metazoa; Chordata; Mammalia; Rodentia; Chinchillidae. The record is from RNAcentral.